This is a long non-coding RNA of Daucus carota subsp. sativus, 442 nucleotides long. RefSeq lists it as uncharacterized. The transcript is spliced from 2 exons. The record is from RefSeq and is a predicted model, not a curated record. Lineage: Eukaryota; Viridiplantae; Streptophyta; Magnoliopsida; Apiales; Apiaceae.
ACUCUUUAAAAGCAUUCCGUGAUACGGCCAAGACUAGAGAAGAGAGGAUUGAGUUGUGUCGUUGCGUGCAGGAUCGUUCUAAUAGAAACAGAGCUGGUGUUCCUGCUCCAGAUGCUCGUGUUCCUAAAAUAGACGCUCUUCCUGCAAAAUGCGGACUUCCAUUUAUAUACUCUGCAGAUCGUAAAUUCGACUGUAACACCGUAAACUAAGCUUACCUCCGGUGCAUGAAGAAGUAGUUGGAGGAAAAAUCGAUAUAUAUAAUAACACUGAGGCCAUAUAUGUGCCUUAAGAAAUAAAUUUAUGAGCAAAUGUAUCUCAUAUGUUUUGUAAUUUUUCAGUUCAACAAGAAAUGCAACUCCUGUUUUGCAUCCACCGUAACUCAUUGAGUUCUGUAAUGUAUUUCUGGCGUGCUAUAUUAUAAACGUUUGACGUUUCUUAUUAA